This is a long non-coding RNA of Chelonia mydas (Green sea turtle), 4959 nucleotides long. RefSeq lists it as uncharacterized. NCBI's taxonomy places the organism in Eukaryota, Metazoa, Chordata, Testudines, Cheloniidae. The record is from RefSeq and is a predicted model, not a curated record. The transcript is spliced from 3 exons.
UGUAUUUUCCACUGCAUGCAUCUGAUGAGCUCACGAAAGCUUAUGCUGAAAUAAAUUUGUUCGUCUCUAAGGUGCCACAAGUCCUCCUUUUCUUUGAUCGUGCAGCGUAGAUGGAAACACAGCUAAGCUCAAACUACAUUAGACCACUGUUAGGUUACUACCACGCUCAAACACUGUAGCUUUUGUCCAAGGUGAUUGUGUGAUUUGGCAACAAUUAAAAUGUGGCUAGGUCCUGGUCUACAUUGCAAGAUGGAACCUGGUUUUGGUUGAUUUUGUAAGUAGUCGGGACCAAUGUGGGCAGAACCAAACCAUGUUAUAUCCAUAGGAAAGAACUGUAGUCUGACCCUAGUCCUGCCAGUAAACUCUUUACUGUAGAAGCAUCUGGAUUUAAAAUUAAUUCGUUUGCCUGUGGAGGGCGCUUUGUGUGCAUUUGUCACCUUUCAAUCUUCAUCCCAUUUAAUGCUUUGUGUGAGCCCUCUGGGCUCAGAGUAGGACUCACAAACCCAUCUUCCUGUCUGAGGUGGGAGAGGUGUCACAGAACUGGAAUCCAAGCUACAGUAGACAUCAGUGUGAAGAAAAAAAAAGGGGCGGAAACCCUUCUGGUUUCCAUAUUUCCAAAUUUUCUGCUAGUUCAGAAGCACCCUUUUAUGAGACACUUCUGGAGUCUGGGAAAUCCCAAUUUUACACAGCUUCCUUCCUGAUUUCAGCUCUGCCUCCUGAGGAAAUGCAGUGGCUUUGACAAUACAGAACAGUAAAAUGUUCUGUUUGCAAAAAAUGAGAGAUCAUUAUCAGAUUUUGCCUUUGGGCUUUGUAGUUGGUACUGGCUGGUUUUAUGCAAAAGUACACUCUUGUUUUUCAGAGUAUGGGUCGUGACCCAGUACUGGGCCAUGGAAUGUCAGGCACUGGGUUGCCUUGCUGAUCCAAAUUAUAACGAUCAUUGCUUCGCUGUAGCUCAAAAGGGCCGCACAGCAGGGACCUGGAGAAGAGAGAGAGGCCUGAGGUUCGUUACUGACUGCAAUAAAGGAAGCUGGGUUUUGAGACAAUGCUGAUCAUCUUCCUCUUAAAGUCCCCCUCCAGCAGGAACUGAGUAAGCUGCAAAGAGCCAUGUGCACUGAGGUUAAAGCUCAUCUUGCUCUUUUCUUGCCCCAUCUCUGCCACAGUGGACAGUAGGCCAAAAAAAAAAAAAAAAAAAACCCAAACAAAAAAAUAGCCAAGUGAAAAAAUAAAGGGAGGGGAAAAACAUAACCCUUUUUUGCUAAGUUCAGUUGUGGGGCAAGGCCACUGAAAACCUGGGAGGAAUAUGCCCCAUUUUGGAAAACAUUGUGGAGCUGACAUUCUGAAUUUACAAUAGUUAAAAACAAAAAUAAAGAAAACCUAACAAAUCAGCAGAAAAAUCUGGCUCAUUCUUUUCACAUUUUCAUCACGAAGCUUCAGAUUGUUAACUUUUUAACCCACACUUUAAAGCACGUAGCAUCUUUUACAGAGGUCCCCUUAAAUAAGAGUUACCUGAAACAUUGUAGACCUAGUGACCCACCAAUUUGGUCAUAUUUGCAAACAUGCCUAUUAUUUUGUUAUUAUAGCACUUGGGAGCCUUAUACACGGUCCAGGACCCCAUUGUGCUAGGUGCUAUACAAACACAGAACAAAAAUACAAUCCAUGCCCCAUUCCUAAUAAUUUUCACAUCAGUUCAAAUCAGAUAAGAAAGCAGGAGAUCCAAGGUGACAUUUGGAAUUUUGGGACCAGAUACUGGCGCUCAGUCUAGCUUCUUUGUGGUAAAGGAAAACUUAAUUGCUUAGUAAUUAAUAAAUGGAAUAAUAAGGCUUAGCACUUGCACACAAGGGUCUACGUGCUCCUCAGCAAGCCAGGCCUAAAUCCUGCACAGGCUCUCUGGCUGUGACAACACAGCAAUGCAGCAGACUGAAAAUUCAGUGGCAGCUUCAUUGAAACACAAAAAUGAAUCAGGAGGCCUGUUGUUACCAGAGCGGAAGCAUGGCUGGAAUCAGGGAACAGAACCUGGGGUGAAGGGGGACAGACAUUGUCAUCUUAGCCAGCACUCCACAGCUGGAUCAGCAGUUACAGCAUGGGAGAGCAGGUGCUGGGGGAUUUCACAGAUGGUGUCUGAGUGACACAAUGAUUGGGGGUGGCGUGUUAAGGAUGCACAGCUGCUGAACUAAUAAGGUCUACUGGCUGAGGGAGCUGACAGCUCUCAUUUCCCAAUAGGAUCCCUGUGCAUCAUUCACACUGUCAUGCACUUGGCUGAGUUUACACCAAAUCAGGCUACCCUAAUUCUUUCUCCUAUACAAUUUUGGGACAAGUUAUGCUAAUUUCUGCUUCCACCAAAAUUAACUGCAGCAGAUUUGUAUGUGGAGACAAAGUGCGUAGUUUGCCAUCAAUACUGAGCUAGGGAAGGGACCAGUGUAACUUCUCCUACCCAGACAAGGCGUAACUCCCCUCUGUAGCAUGGCCUUUUACCAGAACUUUGCCCAGCUUGCCUGUCAGGACUUAGCUCACUCUUUAGAUUGGGCAGAGCUAACCAGUUUUGCCUUAAAUUGGCAGUUAAGCAAUUGGCAGCUGCUGGCUGCAGUGUUGCCAAUUGCCACAAUAUUUGGUGGUUUUCUUAAAGCCCUACAUCAAAUCACAGGAAUACAUGAAGAUCUCAGGUUUGGUUGUUUUUCUUUAAAAAAGCUUGCUAGACCUUAUGGUUAUGGAGAAACAUGAACUUAAAGGUUCAAAAAUAAGAAGGUAAAUAAAAAGAACCCUAAAAGUGUUAUUUUUAAAAAUCUUAUGAUUGUGGUGGGAGAGGGAUUGACUCAUGUUUUUUGAACACAGCAGUGGGAGUAUUGUUGCUGUUUGUCUGUUCUAGCUGGAACUUACCAGUUUUUCCUUUUUAAUUGCUCAGGAAAUACCUUAUUCUCACAGAAUGCUUGAUUAAAACCUCUUUAUAGAUGUUAACAAAUGUGUGUGACCCUCUAACUCAAGCAGUUAGCAGGCAGAGACUGUUCUAUUCUUGAAAGGAAUCAUAACAGCAGACCAGAAAAAAAAUGGUGAUAAGGACUGUAAACAGGAACUGGCAAAAGGCUGAUGGAAAGCAUUCUAUGAAGGGACUUGUAAGAACGUCAAGCAGAGCCUGCUUUUAUUUGAUUAAUGGACUGACUGAUGAAAAACCCCUGCAGGCUGAGGCUCAGUUCAUCUGAUAUCAGGGGUCUUUUCGAGAUAAACCAGCUUGCCAUCUUACCUGAGCUAACCGAGUGCAUGGAAGCCCCAACAGUAUCAUAAAUUAACAGCUGAAGGCCGCCCAAACACCAGGAAAUGAAAGUCGAUGAUAUGGGACAGAACAGCUUUACAUUGGAUAAGAAUGGCUUACGUCAAGCAUAACUAAAUUCAAAACACACUCACUGUGUCUCUCAGCUGUGAUGACACCAAAAGCCAAUGGACCCUUCUCCAGUUGUAAUUGUUAGUGCCUUUCCUCAGUUCAGCACAGCAAGUCAAACGCACUGUCAUGUGAUUCAGCCCUUUGUCUGAGUUUUGUGGCCUGACAGCUCCUCAUGCCUGCCUACGUUCCCCUGGCACCAUUCUCAGCCCUAGCCCUCUUUCCUCCCUGACAGACUCAGCUUCAGGGUUCCCAGCCUCUUCUCUGUUUUCACAAGCUGUUGUGCAGACGGACCUAUUGGCUCUCCUCCAGGUGCCCACAACUGUCUUCCAGAUAGGCCUACAGAAUCCUUACCCCAGCAUUCUUCUUGGCUUCUACCAUGGUACAAUGGCAGCUUGUUCGAUCUAGCAUUAGCUGCCAGCAGAGAUGAGUUACAACAAAACUCUGGAUCCAAAGACACCUGAGCUCUGGGGAAGCUGGGGUCUAAAUCAAAUGGUAUAAGGGCCCUAGCAGUAAACUAUGCAGAGUUCCUGGACUCAAACAGACUUAUCUCUGUGGGGGUUUCUGCCUUCUUGGGCAAAAUGCUUUAAUGCUAUAUACUUCCAUGUAUUUUGACACAACUACAGGCCUAACAGUAUAAAGAAUUUGAAAUGGAACAGAAAAGCUUUAGAAAACACUUAGUGAUGCCCUUGCAGUCCGAAGAGGAAAACACUGUUCAGUAUGUUCCUGUGGUGAAGUCACCCUGUCCGCUCUCUGCCGCACAAGUCUCUGGUUGGUGUCAACUUCAUGUGCAUGAAUCUCUGGCUUUCUAGGAGGAAUCUCUGAAUCACAUAAGCCACAGUAAUUCUCACUAACGUCUCAUGAAUACAUUACGGAAUUUACGCUCUGAAUGGCAGAGACUGUUUGACAUCAUGGUUGCUAGUUUCCCUGUGUACUUAAUCCACCUGCCUAUCUAAUCUUAGGGUUUUUUUAUAGCACCUAGCACUCUGGUAUCUAAGCGCUGACUUAGCCUGUGUAACUAAUGAAUAAAUGCAGGGUUGGUUUUUUUUUGUUUUGUUUUUUGGAGCAAAGACAGAAUGACAGAGGCAUUUCAGUGGCAUUGCAGAUUCAUCCUACAGUAGCUACACUAGUGAGGAUCAUAUUACGGAGGCUGAUAAUCCUUCUGCUGCAGGAUACAAGAUAGUCUCCAGCUGGGUUCAGGAAGAAAUCCCUCCCUGUUAGUUCUGUACAAUUAGUUGAGAUUAGUAAUUAAGUACAAUUAGUUAUGCCUUCCUCUGAAGCUUGUAACAUCGGUCACUACUUGAGACACGAUGCCAGGAUAGGUGCUGGAACUAAGGGUGUGGGGGUGCUGCUGCACCCCCUGGCUUGAAGUAGUUUCCAUCAUAUACAGGGUUUACAAGGGCUGUCAGCAUCCGCAAUAUACAAAUUGUUCCACCAGCCUCUAGAUACCAGAUUAGAUGGACCAUUGCUCUGGCAAUUCCAAAAUCCCUAUGAAGUGUUGAAAUCCAAGUCCUUUGCAAAAUGUUCUGUCUUGUUCAUGCAAUCCAUUCACCCUGAAGCUGCUUGAAAUGGCUUGUGUAGCACAUAGA